RNAcentral lists this ribosomal RNA (376 nucleotides) under uncultured bacterium. RNAcentral's name for it is "partial 16S ribosomal RNA". It matches the Rfam family "Bacterial small subunit ribosomal RNA", at positions 355 to 746 of the family's 1533-position model. The record is from RNAcentral.
UGGGGAAUAUUGCACAAUGGCGAAAGCCUGAUGCAGCAACGCCGCGUGCGGGAUGACGGCCUUCGGGUUGUAAACCGCUUUCAGCAGGGACGAAGGUUUUCUGACGGUACCUGCAGAAGAAGCACCGGCUAACUACGUGCCAGCAGCCGCGGUGAUACGUAGGGUGCGAGCGUUGUCCGGAAUUAUUGGGCGUAAAGAGCUUGUAGGCGGUCCGUUGCGUCGGAAGUGAAACUCAGGGCUUAACCCUGAGCCUGCUUUCGAUACGGGCGGACUUGAGGGAUGUAGGGGAGAACGGAAUUCCUGGUGGAGCGGUGAAUGCGCAGAUAUCAGGAGGAACACCAGUGGCGAAGGCGGUUCUCUGGACAUUUCCUGACGC